UGGGGAAUUUUGGACAAUGGGGGCAACCCUGAUCCAGCCAUGCCGCGUGAGUGACGAAGGCCUUCGGGUUGUAAAGCUCUUUUGUCAGGGAAGAAACGGUAGUAGCGAAUAACUAUUACUAAUGACGGUACCUGAAGAAUAAGCACCGGCUAACUACGUGCCAGCAGCCGCGGUAAUACGUAGGGUGCAAGCGUUAAUCGGAAUUACUGGGCGUAAAGCGUGCGCAGGCGGUUGUGUAAGUCAGAUGUGAAAUCCCCGGGCUCAACCUGGGAAUUGCAUUUGAGACUGCACGGCUAGAGUGUGUCAGAGGGGGGUAGAAUUCCACGUGUAGCAGUGAAAUGCGUAGAUAUGUGGAGGAAUACCGAUGGCGAAGGCAGCCCCCUGGGAUAACACUGACGCUCAUGCACGAAAGCGUGGGGAGCAAACAGGAUUAGAUACCCAAGUAGUCCCUGAGCGGGCUGGCAAGGCGCAU
Molecule: ribosomal RNA, 472 nt
Filed under: uncultured bacterium
Lineage: Bacteria
Description: bacterial SSU rRNA
Rfam family: Bacterial small subunit ribosomal RNA
Source: RNAcentral